GGUAGGGUGUUGGGCUCCUUUCUUUUCAAUUCUAAUAGGUGGUACCUAUUUUAAAAAAUGUUUCUAUAAUUUUACAUUAUUCAAUUUUAAUGAUUUAAUAAUUAAUGAUCAAUUUUGAUAAUUUCAUAUGCUAACACAGAGAUCGUAACUGAUCCAACAAUAAUGUUAACCACGUAUGCGCAACUAUUGGUUAGUUUGAGCUAGGAAUUUGCCAAGCUCGAGCUCGAGCUCUGUUACACGCUCUUGCUCCACCUGCGAUCAUCAAUCGAUCUGCUCGACGGUCGAUUGCGGAGCAUAGCGUAAGUCUGUACGCACCUAUACACUGCCAUUAUAACGUGAACCCCACUAUAUAUUUCUGUCAUUUGGUUUAAAUGCCUUUAAACUUUCAUUCUUGGCCUCUGAUAUGUGUUCCAUUAAUGUUAUUGAUCUCUUUCAAUCAAAAUUAUAUAAUUCUACUCAUUGAUUUCCAUUUUUCGUUUCAUUUCAGACAAAUUCGAGCUCAAUACUGAUAUUCUAACAGCCUGCAACAGGUGUGAGUCACUAAAAGAUAUCGGUUCAAAGGAGUUUCAGAAUGUUAGUGAGCUGUGGAUGCACUUGAAAUCAGUUGAAGAAGGCGUUGACAACAAGCUAAUCUCAUUCACUGAUUUGAAUGAACAGCAAAUGCAGCUGCUCCAUGACUACAAUGACAUGAAGGACUUGACUCAGUGCGUCUUCGGUCGACUGGCGACCAUUCUCGACGUGUCCGUUAGUCAAGUGCACAAAAAGUUUGAUCUUUAUGAUGCACUGACGAUGAUAUAGGAGAAGGCGAACAGCGUAGUGGAGCAGUACCUAGCCGUGCCCUCCUGGAUCCACCGACAUCUGAUCGGCAAAAGGGCGCCGACAUUCUCAAGACGAAGGAGGACAGCCCCAAGGUCUAUUUUGAAAAGAACAAGGACCGCCAGGAGAAGGACAAUCGUAUCAGAAUAGAAGGUACACACUACUUAACUAUCAAUGAAUUGAAACUUGUUCUGGUUUGGCGUUACAACCCAGUACGGGUCACAGCCUCGCUCAAUCUUCUCCUCCAAGCAUCUCUGUUCACCGCAUCCCUGCACUCCAACCUUGGCCGCAUCCUGGUCAACCACAUCCAUCCCCCCUCGUCUCCUUCCUUAUAUUUUCCCAUUCAUCGCCAUCUUGGGUGGGGCUGCUCGAAUCAGGUGUCCUGCCCAUCUUAGUCUGUGCACUGUGAAUAUAGUGAGGCUCACGUUAUAAUGGCAGUUUUGGAGAAAUAUAGGAGAACAACGUUGCCGAUCCUCAGUCUUGUCAAUUCCUCCUAUAGAUG
Molecule: long non-coding RNA, 1318 nt
Organism: Nilaparvata lugens (brown planthopper)
Lineage: Eukaryota; Metazoa; Arthropoda; Insecta; Hemiptera; Delphacidae
Exons: 3
Source: RefSeq, a predicted model, not a curated record